RNAcentral lists this unclassified non-coding RNA (1326 nucleotides) under Hevea brasiliensis (rubber tree). Lineage: Eukaryota; Viridiplantae; Streptophyta; Magnoliopsida; Malpighiales; Euphorbiaceae. The record is from RNAcentral.
UGAUAACGAGAGACUAUUAUUAUGACAGAGAAAAUAGUACAAAUAGCCAACUAAAGGAUUCAUGAAACAAAAAUCAUUAUUACAUUCUUGAAGAAGCAAUAUAUAAACAUAAUGAUGAGCAACAAGCUAAUACUGAAGCAACCGGCUAAAACCACACUAUUUAUACGGAAUUUCGCCAUAGGAAAAAGGAACUAAUUUUUUUCAGAAACAACAGCGGCGGCGGCGGCGGCAGCAGGAGGUCCUUGGCAACCAUUUCAGAAGAAGGGAUGAAUCCUAGCUACGAAAUUUCUGUUGCAAUCUUCUCUUGUACACUGCUGUUCUCACAUAAACCCAAUCUCCCAAUUUGUCCAAGAGUUGGAAAAAGGCAUGUCUACAAGAACGCUUUAACAGUAAAGUGCUCGAUACUCCCCAGAAGCCUACAGUGAAUCCGAGACCCAUGCCAGCAUAAAACCAUUUCCAGAAUUCAUCUUUGUCUUCUUGAUUGUAUCGGCCAUCAAUGUUGGGUUGUGAAACGUGAGUAUCAUCUCCCGGGCACUUUUGUUGAAGAGGCUCCCCACAAAGUGCAAAAUUAUUAGAAAAUGAAGAAGCACUGAAUCCCUGAAGCUGAGUACUUGAUGGAAUCCUCCCAGACAAAUUAUUAUAUGACAAGUUCAAGGUGUUGAGAAAAUUUAAAUCAGCCAUGCUAGCCGGAAGUCUGCCUGAUAGCUGAUUUUGAGACAGAUCAAGUGAUUCCAAUAUCUUCAAACAACCAAUCUCUUCAGGGAUUGCACCAAUCAACUUGUUAUUUGACAAAUUUAAUUGAUGAAGCUGUGAGAGGCUUGAUAUUUCCCUUGGAAUCUCUCCCCCAAUUUCAUUGCUUGAAAGGUCAAUUAUCCUAAAUUGUCCUAGAUUUUUUUCGCACACGUAAUUCUGUCCCUUCCAAAGAAUCAAUGCUCUGUCAAUAUAAGCAUACGCCACAGAACCAUCUGUUGUCCCAACAUAUUGAUGAUCGAUUGUUUUAGUUGAAUUCCCAUCAACCAUGGCACUUAAAUUCUUGAGGCAGUAUGGUAUGGUUCCAUUGAUAUCAUUUACAGAGAGGUCCAAGAUUUGAACUUGUUUUAAUUGACACAGUUGCGAGGGGAUGCUUCCAUAGAACUUAUUGGAUUUUAGGCUCAGAUAUUGCAAAGAGGUUAGGCUUUCUCCAAUCCAAGUGGGUACAUUUCCGAACAAUUUGUUACCACGCAGGUCAAUGAAUUUCAACCUAGUGCAAUUCUUUAAAGACAAAGGUAAUGAUCCCGAUAAGGCAUUGUUGCCUAACAUCAGUGUUUCAAGUUUCGAAAGUGAUCC